CCAUCGGUGGUUCAGUGGUAGAAUGCUCGUCUGCCACGCCGGCAGCCCGGGUUCGAUUCCCGGCCGAUGCA
RNAcentral lists this transfer RNA (71 nucleotides) under Cordylochernes scorpioides. RNAcentral describes it as "tRNA-Gly". It matches the Rfam family "tRNA". Rfam says of the family: Transfer RNA (tRNA) molecules are approximately 80 nucleotides in length. Their secondary structure includes four short double-helical elements and three loops (D, anti-codon, and T loops). The record is from RNAcentral. Lineage: Eukaryota; Metazoa; Arthropoda; Arachnida; Pseudoscorpiones; Chernetidae.